Molecule: long non-coding RNA, 323 nt
Filed under: Homo sapiens (human)
Lineage: Eukaryota; Metazoa; Chordata; Mammalia; Primates; Hominidae
Description: HSALNT0071917
Source: RNAcentral
CGACAAUUUAAAAAGGAGCUGGGAAGUCACCUGGGCUAUACUUCAAAAUAAGUGCAUGCUGGAGAGGACUACAAAGGGGAAUAUACAAUAGAUAUAAUUUUUGCCCAAACCUGGUUUGACAGUCGUUUAAAAUUCAAUAGUACCAUGAAAGUGCUUAUGCUUAACAGUAAUAUGGUUGGAAAAAUUUGGAUUCCUGACACUUUCUUCAGAAACUCAAGAAAAUCUGAUGCUCACUGGAUAACAACUCCUAAUCGUCUGCUUCGAAUUUGGAAUGAUGGACGAGUUCUGUAUACUCUAAGAUUGACAAUUAAUGCAGAAUGUUA